CCUACGGGUGGCAGCAGUCGAGAAUCAUUCACAAUGGGGGAAACCCUGAUGGUGCGACGCCGCGUGGGGGAAUGAAGGUCUUCGGAUUGUAAACCUCUGUCAUGUGGGAGCAAAUUAAAAAGAUAGUACCACAAGAGGAAGAGACGGCUAACUCUGUGCCAGCAGCCGCGGUAAUACAGAGGUCUCAAGCGUUGUUCGGAAUCACUGGGCGUAAAGCGUGCGUAGGCUGUUUCGUAAGUCGUGUGUGAAAGGCGCGGGCUCAACCCGCGGACGGCACAUGAUACUGCGAGACUAGAGUAAUGGAGGGGGAAGCGGAAUUCUCGGUGUAGCAGGGAAAUGCGUAGAUAUCGAGAGGAACACUCGUGGCGAAGGCGGGUUCCUGGACAUUAACUGACGCUGAGGCACGAAGGCCAGGGGAGCGAAAAGGAUUAGAUACCCCAGUAGUC
RNAcentral lists this ribosomal RNA (446 nucleotides) under uncultured bacterium. RNAcentral's name for it is "partial 16S ribosomal RNA". It matches the Rfam family "Bacterial small subunit ribosomal RNA", at positions 338 to 795 of the family's 1533-position model. The record is from RNAcentral.